ACUGAAUUGAGAUAUCAACUAUGCGAUGCUAAGAAUUGUCGCGGUUGAGAAACGAACCCUCGAUGGCUGGAGCGGCCGACGCUGACUGCUACAUCAGGGCGAUUGUACACCUCCAAAUCAGGAGGACGAACACGAGCACGUAGAUGUUUCCGCCCGAUGCAACGAGUCCUUCUGCUUCCCAAUCGGGGGCGGGCAAAAAUAGCAUUGCGGUGGCCGUUUCAUGAUCCGCGAUCUGCAAGCUUGUCUCUCUUUGUCCGUCGUUAAUUCUUCGAUGCCUUCGUCAGCGACAGGGAGAAAUCGUAGGUGAUGAUUCUUUUAUUUGGUCCUGGGAGCUCGAACUCCCCCUGCAGAAAAUGGUGCCGGGGAACACAAGCAGAACCCUCAGCUCAUACAGGUAGCAGUUCUCUACGAACUGAUACGAGCUACCCUCGUAGGUGAUCUUCUUCUACCAUAAAUUUGAAGGAGUCAAAUUUUCUACCAUAAAUUUGUACAAUCUGCAUACAGAAGAAGUAUAUAUUUCUAGCAAUAUUUUCUUGUCAGGGAGAUAACGCUUAUUCAAUGCAUAAGAAGGAGAAAAGAUAAACUAGGAUAACAUGAUGGAAGUUCUGUGGUGAAUAUGGAGAAAAAUGGGAAAAAAAAAACUAGGUGCAGUAUGGCUGCUUGUCUGCCCAACAAUCUACCACUCUCUAUGGUGGUUUGCUGGAUCUGCACAUAUAUGUUUUAGGUGAAGUAGGAGUGUGCAAAUGUUGAUAAUGGCCCUUGAGUACAUAUGGUCAGCAACGCACAUCUUGGAGUGAUCUCAAUGGCAAGAUGUUCUGCAGAACAGAAAGAUUCCAAAGUAUUAUAUAGUUGGGGUUCCGUCAAGAAACACAAAGAAGUUGUGUAUAUGGUCAAGCUGUGGCCAACCUGGCCACUUUCCUCUUUUGCAAUGCCUUUGAGAUAAGAGACCAUCUGCUAGCUUUGCCUUGCGGCGUCGGCAUGGACAAGAAUUUGAAGAUGGACUGGAGAAGGGAAAUGGUGAUUGCUCUUGCUUCCCUCAGAAUCUCGGUCACCAUCCAUGAGUCCUUGCCGUUGGUACAACAUGAGACAUACUUGUCAUCCAUCUGCUUCAGUAAUUUGAAGAUACUCUUGAUACCCUUCUCUGCCUUCUUGUCAAAACGAAUUCUCUCAUGAUGCCAAGCAAGUCCAGCAGCCUGACAGAUCCGUCCAACUCCACUUCCACACUUUCUUUUUCUUGUAUGUUGGAAUAUUUGCUCAUAGGCAAGUGGAGAAGCUCCUCGAUGCACUCGUACAAACCUCCGAGCGCUCUCAAUCCCUCGCAUAUAGUUUGGGCUGAUAAACAGGAUUGAGCCACCAAAGACUUGAGCUUCUGCAUCUCUUCCUCUACUCUGAGCUUGAGAGGGUGAUCUCUAGAUGGCAUGCUGAUGGAUCUGACAUGGUAAGGCUGAUUAGGUGUUGCAGGACAACCAGCCAUAUCCACCAGUAUGUUGUUGGAAGGCCUUUGGAAUGGAUUGCCAAAUGAAGAGUAGAGCAAAAACGAUGGGAAGAUGUGAACAAGCCUGGAACUUCCCCUACUUAUAGUCCCUAUUUCAUAAAGCAGAUGGGAGGCAAGUGGAAUCUAACCAGCCGAGCUCAAUAUGAUAUGCCAAUCUUGGAAUUUGGAUCUUGUAGCCUCAUCUCUGAUCAGAUAUCAAUUUGGUAGCUGCACAACUAAUUCGACUCCUCCGUCAUCUAAGUCACAUGGAUACGUACUUGAAAGAAGCAUGAUAUGUCCCUUUUCCAUCCCUCUACUUCCUGUCGCGUGCCACAUAACCUCCUUUUCCGUGCAUUGAAGAGAAACGACCACCUGCAAGUCUUCAUUCUCCCUGUCUGCAUUGUCAAGAAAGAUGACACCAGAUGAUGCAGAGGCAGUUGUGAUUGGAUUCAGAUCCCCAGAGAUUCUACCCACAAUAGGCGGUCUUUCGAAUUACCACAUAAAUCCGGCAUCGACUCAUCUUCCAGCCAUUUCCACUGCAUGUAAAAGUGAAGGCUUGGUUGCAUGGCGACUGAACAAGCCCCUCAUUGAUUCGUGUGCAGCUGCAAUCUCUCUCAACCACUUGAAUAUAUUGAAAGGCAUAUCAGCAUAACAACUGAAGAAGCGGAAAGGAAAUGAGCGUGGGGUUUCAUGCUUUUGCUCCUCUGCUUUUAAGACAUCAACAUCCACAUCUUUAGGUUGGUCAGAUGGGAAACGACAAGAAUAGCGGUAUUUAUUUUCUUUACUCUCCCACUCUUUCGUGAGUUGCUAGGUGCUGCUAUCCCAUGUGAUGUCAAGGUGGUUCUUGGCUUGCAAUGUAUUUCUUUUACUGACAUCUUCCAAAUAGGUCAGCGGUCAUUUCUGUUUCUGUAAUUCUUGAAGAAAUGGAUGCCUGGCACUUUGUUCAUCGCCCAACAUGUCAUGUCCCAUCAAUUACCAGCAAGAUGCAAGACCUGAGACCAACAACUUUUAUAUGGUUCAAUGCAGUCAGAAACACACAAAGAAUCUGAUCAAGACAUAUGUUACGGCAUUAGAAUAUAUUAACUCCUCAACUAAAGUAUUUGUUUAUGAUGCACAGGUGCAGUAUGGCUGCUUGUCUGCCCAACAAUCUACCACUCUCUAUGGUGGUUUGCUGGAUCUGCACAUAUAUGUUUCAGGUGAAGUAGGAGUGUGCACAUGUUGAUAAUGGCCCUUGAGUACAUAUGGUCAGCAACACACAUCUUGGAGUGAUCUCAAUGGCAAGAUGUUCUGCAGAACAGAAAGAUUCCAAAGUAUUUUAUAGUUGGGGUUCCUUCAAGAAACACAAAGAAGUUGUGUAUAUGGUCAAGCUGUGGCCAACCUGGCCACUUUCCUCUUUUGCAAUGCCUUUGAGAUAAGAGACCAUCUGCUAGCUUUGCCUUGCGGCGUCGGCAUGGACAAGAAUUUGAAGAUGGACUGGAGAAGGGAAAUGGUGAUUGCUCUUGCUUCCCUCAGAAUCUCGGUCACCAUCCAUGAGUCCUUGCCGUUGGUACAACAUGAGACAUACUUGUCAUCCAUCUGCUUCAGUAAUUUGAAGAUACUCUUGAUACCCUUCUCUGCCUUCUUGUCAAAACGAAUUCUCUCAUGAUGCCAAGCAAGUCCAGCAGCCUGACAGAUCCGUCCAACUCCACUUCCACACUUUCUUUUUCUUGUAUGUUGGAAUAUUUGCUCAUAGGCAAGUGGAGAAGCUCCUCGAUGCACUCGUACAAACCUCCGAGCGCUCUCAAUCCCUCGCAUAUAGUUUGGGCUGAUAAACAGGAUUGAGCCACCAAAGACUUGAGCUUCUGCAUCUCUUCCUCUACUCUGAGCUUGAGAGGGUGAUCUCUAGAUGGCAUGCUGAUGGAUCUGACAUGGUAAGGCUGAUUAGGUGUUGCAGGACAACCAGCCAUAUCCACCAGUAUGUUGUUGGAAGGCCUUUGGAAUGGAUUGCCAAAUGAAGAGUAGAGCAAAAACGAUGGGAAGAUGUGAACAAGCCUGGAACUUCCCCUACUUAUAGUCCCUAUUUCAUAAAGCAGAUGGGAUGCAAGUGGAAUCUAACCAGCCGAGCUCAAUAUGAUAUGCCAAUCUUGGAAUUUGGAUCUUGUAGCCUCAUCUCUGAUCAGAUAUCAAUUUGGUAGCUGCACAACUAAUUCGACUCCUCCGUCAUCUAAGUCACAUGGAUACGUACUUGAAAGAAGCAUGAUAUGUCCCUUUUCCAUCCCUCUAAUUCCUGUCGCGUGCCACAUAACCUCCUUUUCCGUGCAUUGAAGAGAAACGACCACCUGCAAGUCUUCAUUCUCCCUGUCUGCAUUGUCAAGAAAGAUGACACCAGAUGAUGCAGAGGCAGUUGUGAUUGGAUUCAGAUCCCCAGAGAUUCUAUCCACAAUAGGCGGUCUUUCGAAUUACCACAUAAAUCCGGCAUCGACUCAUCUUCCAGCCAUUUCCACUGCAUGUAAAAGUGAAGGCUUGGUUGCAUGGCGACUGAACAAGCCCCUCAUUGAUUCGUGUGCAGCUGCAAUCUCUCUCAACCACUUGAAUAUAUUGAAAGGCAUAUCAGCAUAACAACUGAAGAAGCGGAAAGGAAAUGAGCGUGGGGUUUCAUGCUUUUGCUCCUCUGCUUUUAAGACAUCAACAUCCACAUCUUUAGGUUGGUCAGAUGGGAAACGACAAGAAUAGCGGUAUUUAUUUUCUUUACUCUCCCACUCUUUCGUGAGUUGCUAGGUGCUGCUAUCCCAUGUGAUGUCAAGGUGGUUCUUGGCUUGCAAUGUAUUUCUUUUACUGACAUCUUCCAAAUAGGUCAGCGGUCAUUUCUGUUUCUGUAAUUCUUGAAGAAAUGGAUGCCUGGCACUUUGUUCAUCGCCCAACAUGUCAUGUCCCAUCAAUUACCAGCAAGAUGCAAGACCUGAGACCAACAACUUUUAUAUGGUUCAAUGCAGUCAGAAACACACAAAGAAUCUGAUCAAGACAUAUGUUACGGCAUUAGAAUAUAUUAACUCCUCAACUAAAGUAUUUGUUUAUGAUGCACAGGUGCAGUAUUGCUGCUUGUCUGCCCAACAAUCUACCACUCUCUAUGGUGGUUUGCUGGAUCUGCACAUAUAUGUUUCAGGUGAAGUAGGAGUGUGCACAUGUUGAUAAUGGCCCUUGAGUACAUAUGGUCAGCAACACACAUCUUGGAGUGAUCUCAAUGGCAAGAUGUUCUGCAGAACAGAAAGAUUCCAAAGUAUUUUAUAGUUGGGGUUCCUUCAAGAAAUACAAAGAAGUUGUGUAUAUGGUCAAGUUGUGGCCAACCUGGCCACUUUCCUCUUUUGCAAUGCCUUUGAGAUAAGAGACCAUCUGCUAGCUUUGCCUUGCGGCGUCGGCAUGGGCAAGAAUUUGAAGAUGGACUGGAGAAGGGAAAUGGUGAUUGCUCUUGCUUCCCUCAGAAUCUCGGUCACCAUCCAUGAGUCCUUGCCGUUGGUACAACAUGAGACAUACUUGUCAUCCAUCUGCUUCAGUAAUUUGAAGAUACUCUUGAUACCCUUCUCUGCCUUCUUGUCAAAACGAAUUCUCUCAUGAUGCCAAGCAAGUCCAGCAGCCUGACAGAUCCGUCCAACUCCACUUCCACACUUUCUUUUUCUUGUAUGUUGGAAUAUUUGCUCAUAGGCAAGUGGAGAAGCUCCUCGAUGCACUCGUACAAACCUCCGAGCGCUCUCAAUCCCUCGCAUAUAGUUUGGGCUGAUAAACAGGAUUGAGCCACCAAAGACUUGAGCUUCUGCAUCUCUUCCUCUACUCUGAGCUUGAGAGGGUGAUCUCUAGAUGGCAUGCUGAUGGAUCUGACAUGGUAAGGCUGAUUAGGUGUUGCAGGACAACCAGCCAUAUCCACCAGUAUGUUGUUGGAAGGCCUUUGGAAUGGAUUGCCAAAUGAAGAGUAGAGCAAAAACGAUGGGAAGAUGUGAACAAGCCUGGAACUUCCCCUACUUAUAGUCCCUAUUUCAUAAAGCAGAUGGGAGGCAAGUGGAAUCUAACCAGCCGAGCUCAAUAUGAUAUGCCAAUCUUGGAAUUUGGAUCUUGUAGCCUCAUCUCUGAUCAGAUAUCAAUUUGGUAGCUGCACAACUAAUUCGACUCCUCCGUCAUCUAAGUCACAUGGAUACGUACUUGAAAGAAGCAUGAUAUGUCCCUUUUCCAUCCCUCUACUUCCUGUCGCGUGCCACAUAACCUCCUUUUCUGUGCAUUGAAGAGAAACGACCACCUGCAAGUCUUCAUUCUCCCUGUCUGCAUUGUCAAGAAAGAUGACACCAGAUGAAGCAGAGGCAGUUGUGAUUGUAUUCAGAUCCCCAGAGAUUCUACCCACAAUAGCAAAGCGAAUGUGAGCAUUCACUUCUUCGAGCGCAGCAUCAUCUCAUCUUGGAUGUGUUUUUUGACUGUGGCCAGGCGGUCUUUCGAAUUACCACAUAAAUCCGGCAUCGACUCAUCUUCCAGCCAUUUCCACUGCAUGUAAAAGUGAAGGCUUGGUUGCAUGGCGACUGAACAAGCCCCUCAUUGAUUCGUGUGCAGCUGCAAUCUCUCUCAACCACUUGAAUAUAUUGAAAGGCAUAUCAGCAUAACAACUGAAGAAGACGAAAGGAAAUAUGUGUGUGGGGUUUCAUUCUUUUGCUUCCCUACUUAUAAGGCAACAACAUCCGCAUCUUUAGGUUGGUCAGAUGGGAAACGACAAGAAUAGCGGUAUAUCUUUUCUUUAGUCUGCCGCUCUUUCGUGAGUUGCUAGGUGCUGCUAUCCCAUGUGAUGUGAAGGUGGUUCUUGGCUUGCAUUGUAAUUCUUUUGCUGACAUCUUCCAAACAGGUCAGCGAUCAUUUCUGUUUCUGUAAUUCUUAAAGAAAUGGAUGCCCGGCACUUUGUUCAUCACCCAACAUGUCAUGUCCCACCAAUCAGCUGCAAGAUGCAAUCACAUGGAUCAAUGCAGCCAAAAACACACACACACAAUCUGUUCUUGACGUGUCACGGCAUUAGCAUAUAUUAACUCCUCAACUGAAGUAUUUUUUUUAUGAUGCA
This is a long non-coding RNA of Musa acuminata AAA Group (dessert banana), 6539 nucleotides long. RefSeq lists it as uncharacterized. NCBI's taxonomy places the organism in Eukaryota, Viridiplantae, Streptophyta, Magnoliopsida, Zingiberales, Musaceae. The record is from RefSeq and is a predicted model, not a curated record. The transcript is spliced from 19 exons.